UACGGAAGGGGCAAGCGUUGUUCGGAAUUACUGGGCGUAAAGGGCGCGUAGGCGGUUUGUUAAGUUGGAUGUGAAAACUGUGGGCUCAACCUACAGCCUGCAUCUAAUACUGACAGGCUAGAGUUCUGGAGGGGAUAGCGGAAUUCCUGGUGUAGCGGUGAAAUGCGUAGAUAUCAGGAGGAACACCGGUGGCGAAGGCGGCUAUCUGGACAGAGUCUGACGCUGAGGCGCGAAAGCUAGGGGAGCAAACAGG
This 253-nucleotide ribosomal RNA is filed under the name uncultured bacterium. RNAcentral describes it as "partial 16S ribosomal RNA". It matches the Rfam family "Bacterial small subunit ribosomal RNA", at positions 524 to 776 of the family's 1533-position model. The record is from RNAcentral.